GACGAACGCUGGCGGCGUGCCUAAUACAUGCAAGUAGAACGCUGAAGGAGGAGCUUGCUUCUCUGGAUGAGUUGCGAACGGGUGAGUAACGCGUAGGUAACCUGCCUGGUAGCGGGGGAUAACUAUUGGAAACGAUAGCUAAUACCGCAUAAUAGUAGAUGUUGCAUGACAUUUGCUUAAAAGGUGCACUUGCAUCACUACCAGAUGGACCUGCGUUGUAUUAGCUAGUUGGUGGGGUAACGGCUCACCAAGGCGACGAUACAUAGCCGACCUGAGAGGGUGAUCGGCCACACUGGGACUGAGACACGGCCCAGACUCCUACGGGAGGCAGCAGUAGGGAAUCUUCGGCAAUGGACGGAAGUCUGACCGAGCAACGCCGCGUGAGUGAAGAAGGUUUUCGGAUCGUAAAGCUCUGUUGUAAGAGAAGAACGAGUGUGAGAGUGGAAAGUUCACACUGUGACGGUAUCUGACCAGAAAGGGACGGCUAACUACGUG
RNAcentral lists this ribosomal RNA (495 nucleotides) under uncultured bacterium. RNAcentral describes it as "partial 16S ribosomal RNA". It matches the Rfam family "Bacterial small subunit ribosomal RNA", at positions 28 to 507 of the family's 1533-position model. The record is from RNAcentral.